CAAACUGAAGAUGGCGACCGGCGCACGGGUGAGUAACACGUAUCCAACCUGCCGAUAACUCCGGAAUAGCCUUUCGAAAGAAAGAUUAAUACCCGAUGGCAUAGUUCUUCCGCAUGGUAGAACUAUUAAAGAAUUUCGGUCAUCGAUGGGGAUGCGUUCCAUUAGGUUGUUGGCGGGGUAACGGCCCACCAAGACUACGAUGGAUAGGGGUUCUGAGAGGAAGGUCCCCCACAUUGGAACUGAGACACGGUCCAAACUCCUACGGGAGGCAGCAUG
This 276-nucleotide ribosomal RNA is filed under the name uncultured bacterium. RNAcentral's name for it is "partial 16S ribosomal RNA". It matches the Rfam family "Bacterial small subunit ribosomal RNA", at positions 77 to 353 of the family's 1533-position model. The record is from RNAcentral.